ACCGACUUACGUUGAAAAGUGAGCGGAUGAACUGAGGGUAGCGGAGAAAUUCCAAUCGAACCUGGAGAUAGCUGGUUCUCUCCGAAAUAGCUUUAGGGCUAGCCUCAAGUGAUGAUUAUUGGAGGUAGAGCACUGUUUGGACGAGGGGCCCCUCUCGGGUUACCGAAUUCAGACAAACUCCGAAUGCCAAUUAAUUUAACUUGGGAGUCAGAACAUGGGUGAUAAGGUCCGUGUUCGAAAGGGAAACAGCCCAGACCACCAGCUAAGGUCCCAAAAUAUAUGUUAAGUGGAAAAGGAUGUGGCGUUGCCCAGACAACUAGGAUGUUGGCUUAGAAGCAGCCAUCAUUUAAAGAGUGCGUAAUAGCUCACUAGUCGAGUGACACUGCGCCGAAAAUGUACCGGGGCUAAACAUAUUACCGAAGCUGUGGAUUGUCCUUUGGACAAUGGUAGGAGAGCGUUCUAAGGGCGUUGAAGCAUGAUCGUAAGGACAUGUGGAGCGCUUAGAAGUGAGAAUGCCGGUGUGAGUAGCGAAAGACGGGUGAGAAUCCCGUCCACCGAUUGACUAAGGUUUCCAGAGGAAGGCUCGUCCGCUCUGGGUUAGUCGGGUCCUAAGCUGAGGCCGACAGGCGUAGGCGAUGGAUAACAGGUUGAUAUUCCUGUACCACCUAUAAUCGUUUUAAUCGAUGGGGGGACGCAGUAGGAUAGGCGAAGCGUGCGAUUGGAUUGCACGUCUAAGCAGUAAGGCUGAGUAUUAGGCAAAUCCGGUACUCGUUAAGGCUGAGCUGUGAUGGGGAGAAGACAUUGUGUCUUCGAGUCGUUGAUUUCACACUGCCGAGAAAAGCCUCUAGAUAGAAAAUAGGUGCCCGUACCGCAAACCGACACAGGUAGUCAAGAUGAGAAUUCUAAGGUGAGCGAGCGAACUCUCGUUAAGGAACUCGGCAAAAUGACCCCGUAACUUCGGGAGAAGGGGUGCUCUUUAGGGUUAACGCCCAGAAGAGCCGCAGUGAAUAGGCCCAAGCGACUGUUUAUCAAAAACACAGGUCUCUGCUAAACCGUAAGGUGAUGUAUAGGGGCUGACGCCUGCCCGGUGCUGGAAGGUUAAGAGGAGUGGUUAGCUUCUGCGAAGCUACGAAUCGAAGCCCCAGUAAACGGCGGCCGUAACUAUAACGGUCCUAAGGUAGCGAAAUUCCUUGUCGGGUAAGUUCCGACCCGCACGAAAGGCGUAACGAUUUGGGCACUGUCUCAACGAGAGACUCGGUGAAAUCAUAGUACCUGUGAAGAUGCAGGUUACCCGCGACAGGACGGAAAGACCCCGUGGAGCUUUACUGUAGCCUGAUAUUGAAAUUCGGCACAGCUUGUACAGGAUAGGUAGGAGCCUUUGAAACGUGAGCGCUAGCUUACGUGGAGGCGCUGGUGGG
Molecule: ribosomal RNA, 1418 nt
Filed under: Staphylococcus aureus
Lineage: Bacteria; Bacillati; Bacillota; Bacilli; Caryophanales; Staphylococcaceae
Description: partial 23S ribosomal RNA
Rfam family: Bacterial large subunit ribosomal RNA
Source: RNAcentral